CUACCUUAGUGCACAUUAGUUGGGACUCUAGAGGACUGCCAGUGAUAAGCUGGAGGAAGGCGGGGAUGACGUCAAGUCCUCAUGGCCCUUAUGUGUUGGGCUACACACGUGCUACAAUGGUACUUACAACGGGAAGCAAAGAUGCGAGUCUAAGCUAAUCCUGAAAAUGUACCUCAGUUCGGAUUGCACUCUGCAACUCGAGUGCAUGAAGCUGGAAUUACUAGUAAUCGUGGAUCAGCGUGCCACGGUGAAUGCGUUC
RNAcentral lists this ribosomal RNA (259 nucleotides) under uncultured Alphaproteobacteria bacterium. RNAcentral describes it as "partial 16S small subunit ribosomal RNA". It matches the Rfam family "Bacterial small subunit ribosomal RNA", at positions 1115 to 1373 of the family's 1533-position model. Lineage: Bacteria; Pseudomonadati; Pseudomonadota; Alphaproteobacteria. The record is from RNAcentral.